RNAcentral lists this ribosomal RNA (334 nucleotides) under uncultured eukaryote. RNAcentral describes it as "partial 18S ribosomal RNA". It matches the Rfam family "Eukaryotic small subunit ribosomal RNA", at positions 1470 to 1796 of the family's 1831-position model. The record is from RNAcentral.
CCCUUAGAUGUCCGGGGCCGCACGCGCGAUACACUGAAGGAAUCAGCGUGGCUUUCUCCCUGACCCGAAAGGGUUGGGAAACCCGUUGAAUCUCCUUCGUGAUAGGGAUUGGGGCUUGAAAUUGUUCCCCAUGAACGAGGAAUUCCCAGUAAGCGCGAGUCAUAAGCUCGCGUUGAUUACGUCCCUGCCCUUUGUACACACCGCCCGUCGCUACUACCGAUUGAACGGUUUAGUGAGGGCCUCGGAUUGGUCUCGGCCCGCUCUUUACCGGGCGGCGCCGUUGGUCGAGAAGACGCUCGAACUUGAUCGUUUAGAGGAAGUAAAAGUCGUAACA